Molecule: ribosomal RNA, 72 nt
Filed under: Serratia sp. TKO39
Lineage: Bacteria; Pseudomonadati; Pseudomonadota; Gammaproteobacteria; Enterobacterales; Yersiniaceae
Description: partial 23S ribosomal RNA
Source: RNAcentral
GGGUUGUGAGGUUAAGUGACUAAGCGUACACGGUGGAUGCCUAGGCAGUCAGAGGCGAUGAAGGGCGUGCUA